This 176-nucleotide ribosomal RNA is filed under the name uncultured bacterium. RNAcentral's name for it is "partial 16S ribosomal RNA". It matches the Rfam family "Bacterial small subunit ribosomal RNA", at positions 1317 to 1500 of the family's 1533-position model. The record is from RNAcentral.
UCCAUGAAGCUGGAUUCGCUAGUAAUCGCGCAUCAGCCACGGCGCGGUGAAUACGUUCCCGGGCCUUGUACACACCGCCCGUCAAGCCAUGGGAGCCGGGGGUGCCUGAAGGCCGUGACCGCGAGGAGCGGCCUAGGGUAAAACUGGUGACUGGGGCUAAGUCGUAACAAGGUAAC